This 68-nucleotide non-coding RNA is filed under the name Arachidicoccus ginsenosidimutans. Its description in RNAcentral is "Arachidicoccus sp. BS20 Fluoride riboswitch aptamer (crcB RNA motif)". It matches the Rfam family "Fluoride riboswitch aptamer (crcB RNA motif)". Lineage: Bacteria; Pseudomonadati; Bacteroidota; Chitinophagia; Chitinophagales; Chitinophagaceae. The record is from Rfam by way of RNAcentral. RNAcentral also lists the same sequence under 1 other name.
UUAAAAAAAGGUAAUGGCAUUCUACCUUAUCAACCGCCUUUAAGAAGGACGAUGAUGCCUGUAAAAAU